Molecule: non-coding RNA, 71 nt
Organism: Danio rerio (zebrafish)
Lineage: Eukaryota; Metazoa; Chordata; Actinopteri; Cypriniformes; Danionidae
Source: Rfam
GCAUUGGUGGUUCACUGGUAGAAUUCUCGCCUGCCACGCGGCAGACCCUGGUCCUGUUCCUGGCCAAUGCA